UCGAGAAUCUUCGGCAAUGGGCGCAAGCCUGACCGAGCGACGCCGCGUGGAGGACGAAGGCCUUCGGGUUGUAAACUCCUGUCGAGGGGGAAGAAGGGGCGGCAACGCCCUUGACUGAUCCCUGGAGGAAGCACGGGCUAAGUUCGUGCCAGCAGCCGCGGUAAGACGAACCGUGCGAACGUUAUUCGGAAUCACUGGGCUUAAAGCGCGUGUAGGCGGGAGGGAACGUCGGCCGCUGAAAUCCCCCGGCUUAACCGGGGAAGUGGCGCCGAUACGGCCCUCCUGGAGGGACGUAGGGGGAGCUGGAACUUCCGGUGGAGCGGUGAAAUGCGUUGAGAUCGGAAGGAACGCCCGCGGCGAAAGCGAGCUCCUGGACGUCUGCUGACGCUGAGACGCGAAAGCCAGGGGAGCGAACGG
RNAcentral lists this ribosomal RNA (417 nucleotides) under uncultured bacterium. Its description in RNAcentral is "bacterial SSU rRNA". It matches the Rfam family "Bacterial small subunit ribosomal RNA", at positions 355 to 775 of the family's 1533-position model. The record is from RNAcentral.